GUUGACAUCCACACCGUCCUGUGAGUCCGUGAUCCUGUCAGCUCUCAGGAGCUAAGCAGGGCUGGGCCUGGUUAGUACUUGGGUGGGAGACACCUUUGGAAGACCAGGGCCCACU
Molecule: ribosomal RNA, 115 nt
Filed under: Mastacembelus armatus (zig-zag eel)
Lineage: Eukaryota; Metazoa; Chordata; Actinopteri; Synbranchiformes; Mastacembelidae
Source: RNAcentral